Long non-coding RNA from Alnus glutinosa, 495 nucleotides. RefSeq lists it as uncharacterized. The record is from RefSeq and is a predicted model, not a curated record. Lineage: Eukaryota; Viridiplantae; Streptophyta; Magnoliopsida; Fagales; Betulaceae. The transcript is spliced from 3 exons.
AGAUCGCCUCCAUCACACACCAUCCUCCCUACACCUCACAACCAACAGCCCUCUUAUAACAAAUACUCAAUGGAGGGAGCCAUCGGCGGCCAUCUCGCUGUUCAAUCAUCACUCCCAGAAAAUAAGAAGAGAAAAACGGAUGGUUCAUCGCCAUCUUCUAAUCCUUCUCCUUGUGUUGUCCUCAUCCGUAUGCCUAUCUUUGACUGGGACUGGAAGGAAAGGCGCAACCUUGAUAGGUGGCAUACCAUGAAGAUUCCUGCGGACGCCGUCGACGGUACAAUAGGGUCGAUCUCUGAAGUUUGGGCACAAUGGUGUCUAGAUGUGAAAUCUACCUUUGCAUUGCUGAUCCUUCCCGAGACCUAGGUCGGCAUUUGAUCAUUCCCGAGAUCUAGGUCGGCAUUUGACUCUUUUCUAACUGUUGGACUCUUGGUAACAUCACGAAUUCUGGUGAAAGCCCUAUAAUACAAGAGUUGGUUCUGGUCCUUUCCCUACGGA